GGAUGGGUGGCCGAGUGGUCUAAGGCGGCAGUCUUGAAAACUGCUGUACGGGAAACCGUACCGGGGGUUCGAAUCCCUCCCCAUCCG
Molecule: transfer RNA, 87 nt
Filed under: Planctomycetales bacterium
Lineage: Bacteria; Pseudomonadati; Planctomycetota; Planctomycetia; Planctomycetales
Also listed under: 2 other names
Description: tRNA-Ser
Rfam family: tRNA
About the family: Transfer RNA (tRNA) molecules are approximately 80 nucleotides in length. Their secondary structure includes four short double-helical elements and three loops (D, anti-codon, and T loops). Further hydrogen bonds mediate the characteristic L-shaped molecular structure. tRNAs have two regions of fundamental functional importance: the anti-codon, which is responsible for specific mRNA codon recognition, and the 3' end, to which the tRNAs corresponding amino acid is attached (by aminoacyl-tRNA synthetases). tRNAs cope with the degeneracy of the genetic code in two manners: having more than one tRNA (with a specific anti-codon) for a particular amino acid; and 'wobble' base-pairing, i.e. permitting non-standard base-pairing at the 3rd anti-codon position.
Source: RNAcentral